This 230-nucleotide ribosomal RNA is filed under the name uncultured bacterium. RNAcentral's name for it is "partial 16S ribosomal RNA". It matches the Rfam family "Bacterial small subunit ribosomal RNA", at positions 568 to 796 of the family's 1533-position model. The record is from RNAcentral.
CUCGUAGGCGGUUCCGUAAGUCGGAUGUGAAAACUCAGGGCUCAACCCUGAGACGCCAUCUGAUACUGCGGUGACUAGAGUCCGGUAGGGGAGCAUGGAAUUCCUGGUGUAGCGGUGGAAUGCGCAGAUAUCAGGAGGAACACCAAUGGCGAAGGCAGUGCUCUGGGCCGGUACUGACGCUGAGGAGCGAAAGCAUGGGGAGCAAACAGGAUUAGAUACCCUGGUAGUCC